This 64-nucleotide transfer RNA is filed under the name Minisyncoccota bacterium. RNAcentral describes it as "tRNA-OTHER". Lineage: Bacteria; Bacillati; Minisyncoccota. The record is from RNAcentral.
GCAGGUCGGAGUAAAAUGAGUCCUUCCCAAGGAUUAGAUGAGGGUUCGAUUCCCUCUGACCGCA